CUGAGGAGACAUUCUAUAAGGUUGGCUUGAGCCUUACCAACCCUUUGGAUAAGUGUAAAUAUUUGUAGUAUAUUUCACCUCGAUUCUUCUUGGCUCGUGAUUUUCUAUAUUUCAGACAUGAAGCUCGAGGAACUUGAAUAGCUACACCACUUCACCAAGAGGAAGAAGCCUUUGGGCAGUGCUUUCGCUCCCAAGGAGGGCC
Molecule: long non-coding RNA, 202 nt
Filed under: Elaeis guineensis (African oil palm)
Lineage: Eukaryota; Viridiplantae; Streptophyta; Magnoliopsida; Arecales; Arecaceae
Description: long non-coding RNA (EGUI_LNC008951)
Source: RNAcentral